This 772-nucleotide long non-coding RNA is filed under the name Monodelphis domestica (gray short-tailed opossum). RNAcentral's name for it is "lncRNA (ENSMODG00000032843.2)". The record is from RNAcentral. Lineage: Eukaryota; Metazoa; Chordata; Mammalia; Didelphimorphia; Didelphidae.
UCCACGUGGUGGGAGUAGGGCUUUGGACCAGUGAUCAUUAACCACCUCUGGGUUAAACCAGCCCAAGGUGAUUGCAAUUCACACUACAAGAGGCCCCUCUUCUGUGGUUGAAAUGGAAAUCAAGUUUGAAAUGUCAAGCAGUUGUCUGAGGCAUAGCAGUCAGAGAAAUUGAACUGUCAGAAACUAACACAAGAAUAAUAAGAGGAUAUUUCUUCUUCAUUGGACACCAGAGAUGAAUAGCAGGCAGUGAAAUGUACUCUGAACACAGUGAGCAUGCUUCAUCUGUCAAAUUUAGUUACACUUUAUUGCAUCUCUCAUUAGCUGAGAUCAUGGGGAAAAACAUUUCUCAUGCUGUUGGACUGCCAACUCAUAUUUGGACAACAGUUAAGCUCUUAAGCAAUGAAGCAUCUGCCUAAGAUUCUAUUGCCUCAAACUCCAAAACAACCCAAGGAAGUGUUUGGCCAGGAAAUGGCCUUAGAUCUGCCUGCACUAUUGAAGAAGGGCAACCAGCAAGUACUCUUCUCUUCCAGGAGGAAAGGCUUGGAGGCCCUGUGCAAAGCUUGUCUCCUUGACACCAAACAGUGGCUGAAUCAGGACCAGAACACAAGGCCCACAGGACCUCUCUCUCCAGGAAGGAUUCGCAGAGUACAUUGGAUUUUCCCUGAUUUUCUAACCCUGGAGCAGGGCCCCCCUGUGGUUAAUUUAACACUUGUAAAUUUCCACUCAGCUGAGACAAAUCUGCCUCUGUCUGAAUAAAUUGACCAUAUUCCAU